CGCUGGCGGCGUGCCUAACACAUGCAAGUCGAGCGAGGAGAUCCUUCGGGAUGAUCCUAGCGGCGGACGGGUGAGUAACACGUGGGCAACCUGCCUCAUAGAGAGGAAUAGCCUUCCGAAAGGGAGAUUAAUACCUCAUAACAUUGCAGUUUCGCAUGGAACAGCAAUUAAAGGAGUAAUCCGCUAUGAGAUGGGCCCGCGGCGCAUUAGCUAGUUGGUGAGGUAACGGCUCACCAAGGCGACGAUGCGUAGCCGACCUGAGAGGGUGAUCGGCCACAUUGGGACUGAGACACGGCCCAGACUCCUACGGGAGGCAGCAGUGGGGAAUAUUGCACAAUGGGGGAAACCCUGAUGCCAGCAACGCCGCGUGAGUGAUGACGGCCUUCGGGUUGUAAAGCUCUGUCUUCAGGGACGAUAAUGACGGUACCUGAGGAGGAAGCCACGGCUAACUACGUGCCAGCCGCCGC
RNAcentral lists this ribosomal RNA (467 nucleotides) under uncultured bacterium. Its description in RNAcentral is "bacterial SSU rRNA". It matches the Rfam family "Bacterial small subunit ribosomal RNA", at positions 34 to 518 of the family's 1533-position model. The record is from RNAcentral.